ACGUAGGGGGCGAGCGUUGUCCGGAUUUACUGGGUGUAAAGGGCGAGUAGGCGGGAUUGCAAGUCAGAUGUGAAAUCUAUCGGCUUAACUGAUAGACUGCAUUUGAAACUGCGGUUCUUGAGUGAUGGAGAGGUAGGUGGAAUUUCUGGUGUAGCGGUGAAAUGCUUAGAUAUUAGGAGGAACACCAGUUGCGAAGGCGGCCUGCUGGACAUUAACUGACGCUGAGGCGCGAAAGUGUGGGGAGCAAACAG
RNAcentral lists this ribosomal RNA (251 nucleotides) under uncultured prokaryote. RNAcentral's name for it is "partial 16S rRNA". It matches the Rfam family "Bacterial small subunit ribosomal RNA", at positions 525 to 775 of the family's 1533-position model. The record is from RNAcentral.